RNAcentral lists this ribosomal RNA (2905 nucleotides) under Escherichia coli. RNAcentral describes it as "23S ribosomal RNA". It matches the Rfam family "Bacterial large subunit ribosomal RNA". The record is from RNAcentral. Lineage: Bacteria; Pseudomonadati; Pseudomonadota; Gammaproteobacteria; Enterobacterales; Enterobacteriaceae.
GGUUAAGCGACUAAGCGUACACGGUGGAUGCCCUGGCAGUCAGAGGCGAUGAAGGACGUGCUAAUCUGCGAUAAGCGUCGGUAAGGUGAUAUGAACCGUUAUAACCGGCGAUUUCCGAAUGGGGAAACCCAGUGUGUUUCGACACACUAUCAUUAACUGAAUCCAUAGGUUAAUGAGGCGAACCGGGGGAACUGAAACAUCUAAGUACCCCGAGGAAAAGAAAUCAACCGAGAUUCCCCCAGUAGCGGCGAGCGAACGGGGAGCAGCCCAGAGCCUGAAUCAGUGUGUGUGUUAGUGGAAGCGUCUGGAAAGGCGCGCGAUACAGGGUGACAGCCCCGUACACAAAAAUGCACAUGCUGUGAGCUCGAUGAGUAGGGCGGGACACGUGGUAUCCUGUCUGAAUAUGGGGGGACCAUCCUCCAAGGCUAAAUACUCCUGACUGACCGAUAGUGAACCAGUACCGUGAGGGAAAGGCGAAAAGAACCCCGGCGAGGGGAGUGAAAAAGAACCUGAAACCGUGUACGUACAAGCAGUGGGAGCCUCUUUAUGGGGUGACUGCGUACCUUUUGUAUAAUGGGUCAGCGACUUAUAUUCUGUAGCAAGGUUAACCGAAUAGGGGAGCCGAAGGGAAACCGAGUCUUAACUGGGCGUUAAGUUGCAGGGUAUAGACCCGAAACCCGGUGAUCUAGCCAUGGGCAGGUUGAAGGUUGGGUAACACUAACUGGAGGACCGAACCGACUAAUGUUGAAAAAUUAGCGGAUGACUUGUGGCUGGGGGUGAAAGGCCAAUCAAACCGGGAGAUAGCUGGUUCUCCCCGAAAGCUAUUUAGGUAGCGCCUCGUGAAUUCAUCUCCGGGGGUAGAGCACUGUUUCGGCAAGGGGGUCAUCCCGACUUACCAACCCGAUGCAAACUGCGAAUACCGGAGAAUGUUAUCACGGGAGACACACGGCGGGUGCUAACGUCCGUCGUGAAGAGGGAAACAACCCAGACCGCCAGCUAAGGUCCCAAAGUCAUGGUUAAGUGGGAAACGAUGUGGGAAGGCCCAGACAGCCAGGAUGUUGGCUUAGAAGCAGCCAUCAUUUAAAGAAAGCGUAAUAGCUCACUGGUCGAGUCGGCCUGCGCGGAAGAUGUAACGGGGCUAAACCAUGCACCGAAGCUGCGGCAGCGACGCUUAUGCGUUGUUGGGUAGGGGAGCGUUCUGUAAGCCUGUGAAGGUGUACUGUGAGGUAUGCUGGAGGUAUCAGAAGUGCGAAUGCUGACAUAAGUAACGAUAAAGCGGGUGAAAAGCCCGCUCGCCGGAAGACCAAGGGUUCCUGUCCAACGUUAAUCGGGGCAGGGUGAGUCGACCCCUAAGGCGAGGCCGAAAGGCGUAGUCGAUGGGAAACAGGUUAAUAUUCCUGUACUUGGUGUUACUGCGAAGGGGGGACGGAGAAGGCUAUGUUGGCCGGGCGACGGUUGUCCCGGUUUAAGCGUGUAGGCUGGUUUUCCAGGCAAAUCCGGAAAAUCAAGGCUGAGGCGUGAUGACGAGGCACUACGGUGCUGAAGCAACAAAUGCCCUGCUUCCAGGAAAAGCCUCUAAGCAUCAGGUAACAUCAAAUCGUACCCCAAACCGACACAGGUGGUCAGGUAGAGAAUACCAAGGCGCUUGAGAGAACUCGGGUGAAGGAACUAGGCAAAAUGGUGCCGUAACUUCGGGAGAAGGCACGCUGAUAUGUAGGUGAAGUCCCUCGCGGAUGGAGCUGAAAUCAGUCGAAGAUACCAGCUGGCUGCAACUGUUUAUUAAAAACACAGCACUGUGCAAACACGAAAGUGGACGUAUACGGUGUGACGCCUGCCCGGUGCCGGAAGGUUAAUUGAUGGGGUUAGCGGUAACGCGAAGCUCUUGAUCGAAGCCCCGGUAAACGGCGGCCGUAACUAUAACGGUCCUAAGGUAGCGAAAUUCCUUGUCGGGUAAGUUCCGACCUGCACGAAUGGCGUAAUGAUGGCCAGGCUGUCUCCACCCGAGACUCAGUGAAAUUGAACUCGCUGUGAAGAUGCAGUGUACCCGCGGCAAGACGGAAAGACCCCGUGAACCUUUACUAUAGCUUGACACUGAACAUUGAGCCUUGAUGUGUAGGAUAGGUGGGAGGCUUAGAAGUGUGGACGCCAGUCUGCAUGGAGCCGACCUUGAAAUACCACCCUUUAAUGUUUGAUGUUCUAACGUGGACCCGUAAUCCGGGUUGCGGACAGUGUCUGGUGGGUAGUUUGACUGGGGCGGUCUCCUCCUAAAGAGUAACGGAGGAGCACGAAGGUUGGCUAAUCCUGGUCGGACAUCAGGAGGUUAGUGCAAUGGCAUAAGCCAGCUUGACUGCGAGCGUGACGGCGCGAGCAGGUGCGAAAGCAGGUCAUAGUGAUCCGGUGGUUCUGAAUGGAAGGGCCAUCGCUCAACGGAUAAAAGGUACUCCGGGGAUAACAGGCUGAUACCGCCCAAGAGUUCAUAUCGACGGCGGUGUUUGGCACCUCGAUGUCGGCUCAUCACAUCCUGGGGCUGAAGUAGGUCCCAAGGGUAUGGCUGUUCGCCAUUUAAAGUGGUACGCGAGCUGGGUUUAGAACGUCGUGAGACAGUUCGGUCCCUAUCUGCCGUGGGCGCUGGAGAACUGAGGGGGGCUGCUCCUAGUACGAGAGGACCGGAGUGGACGCAUCACUGGUGUUCGGGUUGUCAUGCCAAUGGCACUGCCCGGUAGCUAAAUGCGGAAGAGAUAAGUGCUGAAAGCAUCUAAGCACGAAACUUGCCCCGAGAUGAGUUCUCCCUGACUCCUUGAGAGUCCUGAAGGAACGUUGAAGACGACGACGUUGAUAGGCCGGGUGUGUAAGCGCAGCGAUGCGUUGAGCUAACCGGUACUAAUGAACCGUGAGGCUUAACCUU